UAUAAUUCCCUGUAAUAACCAAAAAGGAGAGGUGAAGAAUGUGAUAUUUAGCAUGAAUUAAUGCUCCCUUUUGAGGCUGGUAGCCUAUAUAAACCUGUAGAUUAAAACACUUUAUUAUGUGCACUCAGGCUUGGGUGUAGAUGUGUAGAUAUAUACAAGUAUUCAUAGAAUACUUUUUGAUAUUUUAUUGGUACUAGUUACAGUAGUAUUAGUAUGGAUUAUAUGGAAAAAAUAUUGUGGUAACAUUGCUUUUAGUGAUUAUUUUCAUGUAGUAUACCUAUCAGAUUGGUCCUUGGUAAAAAGUUUUUAUGAUCUUCAGUAAUGUCUAUUAACAUGUUCCUUUUUUCUUAUAGCUGUAAGUUAUACCAUCUUUUAGAUGUUUUCUUCAUUAAUACCGUAUUGCCUUUGACAAUGCAAUCCUCUACCAGCAUUUACAAUCUUCUCUCCAUAGGCAGUCUUUGACAAUUCAGUCCUUUUUUCACUUUAAAUAUUAUUUUUAGGAAAAUUCCCAGAUCUUCACAUACUGAAGCUCUCCUGAUCAUCUGAUUUUUCUCUUUUAUGUAAAGGAAUUUUUUAAAAGUGAUUGCCAAAUGUAUAUCAUUCCUCAGAGGCUUCUACAGUUUUGUGAAUGAGGACCAUCUUGUACCAAGAACUUUGAAUCAGUCUUAUUAAAAGAAAAUAAGGCACAGCUGUCCAUAGAAUGACCCUUAUGCACACACAUGUAAUGGUUAUUUUACUGUUUCAAGUACAUAAUUUUGCUUUAGUCAUUUGAUAUCCAUGUUGAAGAGAAUGUGAUCUUCAAAAUAAAUUCCUGCAUUACUCACAAAAAGUGCCAUUGCUGCGAUUGCUGCUUGGAAUAUGUGAAAUUUGUAAAUUUACAAAUACGUACCAAAAAGAAGGGCUUACUCAACCAAAAAUAUUUUAUUGUUAUUAUUAAUUAUUAUUAUUAUUAGGGAGGAGACCUUCUUUGAGGGCAGUAGCAUUGAAAAUUAUGGCUGUUUCUAUGGCAUUUAAUUUGUACAGCAUUCUCAAUUUAUCUUAAAGUCUUUUCAUCAGCAUGUAGGUGUUAUAAUAAUCUAGACGACAAGGCAGAUAUUCCUGCACUAGUGAGAUUUUUAAAAUGUAUUAAGAUUUUGUAUGAAAUUUAGUAGCAUGAUAAAUUUUAACCUAUUGAUUUUUUUCAUAGUUAUCAUUUGAAGUACCUAAUUAUUUUUAAUUAAGGUGUAAAUGGUGCUAAAUGAAUGUAUGCAUGUCAGAUAGUUUUUAAAUUGUUGUAAUUUCAACUAUGUGAUUUUUUUAUUUUGGUGUAAAUGGUUUUGAAUGAGAGUGAAUGUCUUGGUUUUAAUUGCUGUGUAUAAUUAGAUCUUAAUUUUAGUUGUUGUGUAUCAUUGGGUAUUUUUAAUUGCAGUUUUAAUUGAUCAGUUGUAUAAAAGAUUUUAAUUGAUUCACUUAUUCAUUCAUUUAAUCCACUUCAUUCAAUCACAUAUACCACUACAGUGCUGAAUGGCCUUUACAGGUCCCAGUGCUUAGGCUAUGCCCUAAAUUCCAUGAUCAAUCAAUCAAACUAAGCACAAAUAAAGAUUUCUGUUUUCUUAGGUUUAUUUCCUCUUAACGUGUCGGCAGCAUACUGGUGGUCAUCUAAGAGUACAAAAGCCAAUUAAUUGAGAUACAUGAUGUACAGGUAUUUAUUUAUAGCAGGCAGUGUAUUUACAAUUGGUGUGUUGUUAGUAGGCCAAAUUUUGUUAAGUCAUAGGUUUGUAACUAUAAUGAAAAGUCGGCCUACUAACAACCCACCAAUUGUAAACAUACUGCCUGCUAUAAAUACCUGUACCUUAUGUACUUCAAUUCAUUCGCUUUGGUAUUCUCAUAGAUGACCAACAGUUUGCUGUUGACACAUUAGAGGAAAUAAACCUAAGGCAACAGAAAUCUUUAUUUGUCCUUAGGAAACGUGAUAUACCAGCUACAUGCUGAGGAAAAGAUUGUAAGAUGAAUAGAGAACAUUACAAAUUAAAUGCCACGGAAACAGCUGUUAUUAUUAUUACAUGUACGUAUUAUAGAAGUGAAACUCACCAAAUAUUACUAUUAAAAAAUAUGAUAUAUUACCUAUGUAUUUUUAAGAGAAAGACUGAUGGUGUCAGUUAUACUAAAGAGAGACUGCUGUUGACUAUCUCUGUGCUGCAUUAUUAUGUAGGAGUUCAUAUGUACUGUGCGUACAUCAUAGUUCAAUAUAUAUUUAUGCUGGCUAAUCUGUCACAAUAUCUUUUACUUAGGAAUUUUGUGUAUUAAUCCUAGCGCUUACAGUCUGGGGGCUGGUAAUGAUUAUAAAAUAAAAUGUAUUUCACUGAUAAAAAACCUGCUUGCUGUAGUAUAUGAGUUUAUCACUCCACUAUUUAGAGAGAUGACAAACUGAAUUAUUUACAAAGAUAAACUUUUUCUUUUGGGAUAUGAUCUGUAGGUAAAAAUAGUUGUGAGUGUAAGUUAGUCAAAUGGCUAACUUUCACAGAAAACUGCACUAGGUUUGUAUUAUAUCGUUUCAGUUUGGAAAGAUAUUUCCUGGCAAUAGAGCAGAUAGUUCAGGUUGGUAAGGUUGUCCUUAGAAAUUUAGCAUGGAAGGUGAGAGCCAAGGGUCCCAAUAACCUUCUAGAAGGCUGUGAUGUGUUGUCAGCCAACUCAAGGAUGAAGGUAUGCUCAAAAGUUCAGGUCAUGGUUACUUUAUUGCUAGUUGGUAAUGUGGUAUGCUAUAGUAGAUAACAGUUCAGCCACAUAGUUGAGCAGUAAUUAAUCAUAGUAAAAUCAACCACAUAGUUGAACAGUAAUUAAUCAGGUAACGAAGGGAGUUAUGAAGGAGAUGGACUGGAGCCCGUAACACAGUUUAGUGAUCCACUGUUCCCCAUUUACUGAAAGAUAAAAUAUUAAAUUUAAUGGUCCUUCUUAUAGGUAGAAGUGUCUUAAUGAGAUUACUUCAGUAAUUUAAAGGAAAAUGCUCAUAGAAUAAGCCAGUGCACUUUUAUAUAUGUGAUGAAGGUAACUAAAUGAUGGAAACAUUUGCUAAGAAGUGAAAUCAUCAGAAUAUCAAAGCGCCUCAUCGCCGUGGUUGGUAUGGUAUUAGCGUCCCACCUCAGUGGUCGCAGGUUCGAGUCUCGGCCAUUUCGUUGAGGAGUGAGAGAUGUGUAUUUCUGGUGAUAGAAGUGCACUCUCGACGUGGUUCGGAAGUCACGUGAAGCCGUUGGUCCCGUUGCUGAAUAACCACUGGUUCCAUGCAAUGUAAAAGCACCAUACAAACAAACAAACAUCAGAAUAUCAGAAGCUAAUCACUGACUGAAAUGUAAGUGUGGCAUAUAAAACCAGCACAGAACAUUUUAAUUUUCUACGGUAUAUGAGAACAGGUCCCCUAAGUUUAAAAUCAGUUCAUGAAAUACUCAAGGCUUUGUUGCUGGAGCACCCAAACACAAUGAAAGUGAGUGAAAAUGAGUGACAACAAUUCUUGUUGUAAGUGAUUUCUAGGUCUUCCAACUGCAAGCUGAUUAACAGACUUAAUGCAGGUAGAGUGGAAAAAUACACUUGAGAUGAUUUAGGUAUUUGUUGAGAUAGGACGUGUAGCACUCUGGUAAAAAAAUUUGGGAUAUUGGUAAUGAAAUGACUGUACUAUAUGCAAAGUAAUGAGGGUCAGGUCCCAGUGCUUGGGCUAUGCCCAAAAUUCCAUAAUCAAUCAAUCAAACUAAGGACAAAUAAGGAUUUUCUUAUUGUGAAAGAUGAAAUCUGGGCUAGAUAGGAAAUGAAUGCAAGAUAAAACAGAGGGGAGGAAAGUCAUGAGACACCUAACCCCCAAUUAUUGGGUAGGCUAACUAGAGGAAAGAUUCACAGUUGUAACUUCUCAAGGGUGCCAGAAGGAAGAGACCAAAGAGAAUGGAAUGAAUAUAAAAAACAAAGUAUUAUUUAGCAAGGUGCAUAAACAAUUAUGUAAAAAAAUUUAAAUUUAUAGCACAGUGUGCUGUUAAACAAACACACACACACACACACACACACACACACACACACACACACACACACACACAGUUAGAAAUUGGCACAAAGAGCACAAAUAAAAGAGAUGGAGAAAAAAUUAUGAGAAAUCUAAGCAUCGAUUAUUAUUGUGAUAUUGGGUAGUUUAAUUAAAACAAAGCAUCGAUUAUUAUUAUGAUAUUGGGUAGUUUAAUUAAAGCAAAGACACCAUUCUAGCCUCCCAUGGGUGGCCAGAAAGAAAAGACCAAAGAGAACAGAAUUAAUGUAAAAGACAAAAUCUUAUUAAGUAGGGUGUGGAAGUAACCCUGUAAAAAUUUAAAAACUUAUAUUACUGUACCCUUUACAGCACAUUGUUAAACAUACACACACUGUAAGUACCCCUCACCUCCCCAUGGAGCUGUCAAGAAUAAACCAAUCUCAGUGAUGAUUGAGUGACUACAUAUGACUCAUACAGGAAAGCUAAUUCUAUAAGAGGUGGUUGUACUUUUUUUAUAUUCAUUAUAUCAAAGGCCAAGUCACAUUGUUAGUGAGUUCUGUGUACUGUACUACUGAGAAAAUUUUUUGUAGUGGUUAUGAAUAUAAUAGUAUGUUCAGUUUGAAAUGAUUUUAUAAAUUGGACACAGUCAUGGUGAACUUAUUGUCAAUAAUAGUUUGAGAUGGUUUGUCCGACCUAGCGAUCCGUUCAUUAAGACAUAACCCACGUAGUAUAUUCCAGUGGGAAACAAAAAAUGGAAGAAACAUCCAAAGGUUGCUAACAUCAAUGUGGGCCAUCUGCAAGAUGACACAAGAGCAGUUGAACUAAAAAGAAUUUUAUAGCCAGAAAAACAAAUUGAAAACAAUUUUUGUUUCUGGUCAUCUUGAUAUUAAAACUUGGCUCAGUUAAGGCAACAGUAUACAGGUUACUUUUGGCUUGAAUGUAAAUUUCUGUAUUCUAAUGAAGUUGUAGAUAUGGCCUGGUUAAGUAUACUGUAAUUUUUAAUUGAUUUUUGCUAUUAAGAGGACUUCCAUAUAAAUUUACAAAAUCCAUUCAGAUGCUUAUUUUAGACUGUUAAGUAGGUAAAGUCUUGCUUCGUUUGUGAUAGGAAAGAUUUAGGAUGAUUGUAAAUGUUUUGUGUAUUGCAUAACUGAAUAUUACAUUUUUUUCUCCACUGUUACAAAGCUGUAUUCAACUCUUCGGUAGUCAUAUUUUAUGCUUGCCUAAGAUCAGACAUAUUAUUUAUGAAAAUGUGUUUGAUGCAUUUGUCUUUUUUACUCAGUACAGGACAAGAAAUACAAGGAAUAGAGGUAGCCCCUGCUGUUUUAUAGUUAGACUAAUUUCUAUCCAUUUUAUCUCUAGGCCAUUCCCAGCCUUGAAUGUGUCCAACCAGGUAGAUAUAUCCACUGACUGCUUACUGUUUUGUUAAGUUCUUUGAUUCAUGCCAGUUUACGGAAUAUAAUUGUUGUGCUUCCCAUACAAUGGCACCUGGAUCUUUAGUUAGCAUAUAUCCAUUUCAUUCAUAUCAAGUAAAUGUGUACGUACUUAGAUCCUUGUUGGGUGUGCUUUCUUCCUGUUUUUUGUUGACUUCUUUAAAUUUAGAACUGCAGUUCUCUUUUUCUUCACCUAUCACUGUAUGAAAACUGUUGAACAUCAUCUUGAAAUAAUCCAUUCUUCAAUGUUCAUAUUGUUAUUUUUAUUUGAUUGAUCUUACCCUUAUCACUGUCUAUCAGAUCUGCUAUAGAAAAGAAAAACUUUUAAAGAUUGUACAAUACUUUCAAAGUUGUACGGAAGGAUGACUUUUUUUUUAUCUAUUUUCUUUACAUAAAACAAGUAGGUGAGCAUUUCUGUUUUAUUGUUAUUCGUAUAUAUUAUCUUGUAACUUUAGGUGAAAUGGGACUGCUGCAGUAUUUGUGGAUUGAUUAGAAUUUAAAAGAGUAAUUGGGAAAAUCAUAACUAUUUUAAUCUUAUGAAUUGAAGAUUGGCUAUUUCUGUUCAAUUGUAUUUCAGUUACUUCAGUUAUAUAAUAUAUUGUAAUACUUAAGCAUAUAAAGACAGUGAUGCAGGAUUGCAUUUAUCAAAUGUUACCUUUUAUUAAUUACAAUUGUAUUUAUAAUACGUAUUAAGAUAUUGGUAAACAGUCUCAUGUGUCAUCCUGGGCCAUUUUUCAACAAAGUUAUUUUCAUUCAGUAGACAUUAAAAGGAUCUUAGAAAAUGGAAACACUGUAUGGAGAAUAUCCUGAUGUGUUUUCCAAUGUUUUUUUAAAAUGUGUUCUUCCAAACCAAAAAGAUAUCAUUUUUUUGUAAAUAGUAUUUCCCAGGAAAGUGGGAAUUAAGUUAUGUAAUGCAGUGUCUGUUCCAAAGCAUUGUGCAAGUGCCGAUUGUAAUUAUUAUAGGCCAUAGUAUGGUUCAAGGUUACUGAAAAGUUUAAAUUGUAUCGAAGUACCUAAUUUCGGACAGUCAAUAGCCCUACGUGAAAUGGCUUGGUAGUACUUAUAAUGUUCUGUGAGAUCUAAAUAGAUAUAUAUCUGUGACAGUCUUGACAGUAUAUUGAGUCCAGAUUUUGUCAGUUUGGCUUUAUUGCUGCCUUAAACUUGAACACCCAUAAGGUUUUUAUAUUAAAACAUGUAACUCAGGUACUGUAUGUUGUAUAACAUAUUUAAUCUCAUGUACAGUUUAUAAUCGACUAACUGCAGUUAGUGUUUGAGAACUUUUUUCUUGCUGCUAAUAUGAUUCAAGGUCUAGAAAAAAAGAUCAGGUAGUAUGAUGUUCAAUAUUCAGGUAUUUGCUUUCCGCAAAUGUGAUAAAGUUACUUCUAGCCUUAACAAGGCUCUUGAUUGAAUCAGUGGGUGGGGUAUGAUGAUAUUAAAUUUUCUUAAUAGUGUUGAAGAGCUUCAGCAAAAUUAAAGAUAUGUGUUAGUAACUGGUUUGGCAAUGUGCUGCCAACCAUGAUUUGCUUUGGAUUGGUAAUGCAGAUGUUAAUAAUUUUGAAUAUUUAAUGAGACAUUACUGUACUUUUCACUCUCAGCUUUCUUUCUCACAUAUAUCAGCUAAGGCACCCAGGGAGCUUGCUCUGAUUGACUAUUAUUGGGAUAUUUUUCUUCUUUCUGCACAUUAGCAGCAUAUUGAUAUUUUCAUCUUUUAGAUGACAGUGGUAUUUAUGAUUGUGUCUAGAGCUUGUACCCUUAGGGUUGGCGAGAUUUCUUGCCAGGUUACACAUUGUCUCAAUGACCAGUACCAGAGGUCUUUCAUUUCUUUUAAUUAAAGAUUUGUAAUGUUCUUCCUGGCUGUCUGUUUGUUACUUCACAAAUACAAACUUUCGCUCUUAAACAGCCAUUCAGACAUAUUGAUAAGGUAGUAAACUACCGACAGGCAGGGGGAACCUGCAUCCACUUGUCAUUCUGCAUUCAACUUCACUUCCGGCCACCGUCGAGUCCAGACGUUUUUCAUGACUCUGCCCAACUUUUGCCAUUCGAAUAUUUAUUGAUUAAACUUGAGUACUAUUUCGUUUCCUUUUUUUGGUUGUUGACUAUGUGUUUGUAUUGCAAUUUAUCAAACCCAUCAGUCAAAUAACCUUCUUGCAGGGAAUUAAGUUUGCUUUUUCGUGCUGCAGUGUAUACUGUUUUCGUCAGACACAUAACAGCUCUAUUAGUUAUGCAACUGCUGUAUCAUUCACUUAUAUACUUACUUUCUGAUAUAAUUACCUUUCAAACAUGGUAGAUUUAGCCACUCGUAAAUUUCGUGACAGUAAAGUUUGCCUUAUUCAAGUUAUUCCUGUUUUCAUGGCUUCUUUUUUAUUUAUUGGAAAUAGGCUAUGUAGCCUUAUUCCUCUAAUUUCUGUGGAUUAGUCUUUGAGAUAUUUGACUACUGCAGACUAGGCUAGUUUUGACAGUGGUGGAAGAAGGUAGAGGUGUUCUCCUUCCCUUCAUCAUCAUGUAUACCAUUCUUCUGAACCUUGCCACCACUCUGACUAGGACUGCAAGUUUACGGUGGAGAGUUGUCUGCCCAACAUUAGAGUACUUAUUAAGCUUUUUUCUGUCGAGUCUAACAUAAAGAGAAAAAGGAGAUGUCAUCUGCCCUAAUGAGAUCCAGUGGAAGAUUAGGUGAUGAAAUCUUCAUGUUAGGCCAUAAAAGCUUUAAACCACAAAGAGUGGUACAACACUGCCAGUGAUGUAUGGGUCCAUUAAAUUAUGAGACAAGAUGUUUGAUGAGAAGGAGCAACAUGCCAGGCUAAUGAUUUUAGCAGUGCUUGAACCUCUUCUUGCUGGCAGUCUGUUUUGUAUUUCCUCCAUGUCAAUACAAGGUUAUAGGGUACAUGGGAUGUGAUUGCUUGUAAUAUGUAAAUAUUUUUUCAGUAGGAAAUUGAGUUCAUCAUACAAUUUCUCCUACAAGAUUUGUAUAGCUGGGGCAGUUGAUUUAUGGUAUCUUUAUUUACUGUCCAUUUUCUCUCCUUUUUUUAACUCUUACAUAUUGAUAAUCUGGAAAUUUUAUUUUUUAGGCUUGUAAGCAUAUUCCAUGGAGUGUUUGCAAAUUUAUAAUACAGGCAGUCCCCCUGCUUAUCAGCAACUUCGGUUAACAGUGUUCUGGUUUUAUGGGGUUUGGCUAAUCGUUAACCAGCUUUUCAACUACAGUAAGUGAUUUUCGGCAUCGGUAAGAGGUUUAUUGACAUCAGUAACCAGGGACUGUCUUAAUAAUAACAAUUAUCAACUUAGAAGAUUCUUUUUAGAAUACUGCUGAAAUAUUUAAAUCAGUUGAUCUACACUCUAUGUACUAUCAGAAAACUUGUUUGUGAUUUCUUAACUAUAAUCAUUGCUGAAAAAAAGACCUUAUCUCCAGACAAAUAAUCUAUCAAGUUUCCUAACAAGAUCAUCUUGCAUCCUUCAGUGGUUAACUAAAUUUAUUUUCAGAACUGAAUGUGACUAAACUUUCCCAUUGUCUUUUAAGACGGUUUAUAACAAACCAGUUUCUUUAGCACACUCAAAUUAACACAAAGAAAGUGGAUCUGGGAACCCAGGAAUAUACCAGAGACCAACAAGCUCAAGCAGUAGAAGGGUUUAAUUCUGAAGUUCAAGGAUUUUCUUGUCACUUCCAAAUAUGACUUUCGACAAAUACAGUUGUUCAUGAUCUGUUAACCUUGAAGCACUUAAUUAUUUUAUCUGCUUCAAGAUAAAACCUGUUCGAUAGGUAUGUCAUGCUCUUUUAAUAGUUUGUUUAAUUUCUGGAUCUCCUCAAUGCCACAUGAUAUUCUGAUAUUGUAGACUUUGUGGAAGCAUCUGCAGUUUUGCAUGUGAAUGUGACAACUUUAGCAAAACUGAGAUUAGAGGGGCUAACUUGAAUGAUUAUUUUUAUGGGUGGGCACUGAAGUAGAUUGUGUUGGUGAGAGAUUUGUCACUGUUCUCUUUGAAAUACUGGUUUUUUUAUAUGAAUUCAAAGAAUCCAAGUCUUUCCUACUUUGAGAUAGUUCAUUUGGAGUUGCCUAGUAGGGAGAAAAAGAGAGUAGCUGUAAGAUAGGACUUUUGAAAUUGUUAAUACAGAACUGUCUCAGAGUCAGAGAGCCAGUAGUACCAAUAAUUAAAAUAAACAGGUUUUCCCAUCACUGGUUGCAUAACUAAAUUCGUAAUGCUCACCCACUCAGACAACUUAUUUGGUGAACACUUCUUAGACUCUCAUGACAGAUAUAAAAGAAUAACUGUAAAUAUGUAGAUGUAUUGAGACCAUUAAGACUUGCAACAGCUUAGUUAGCAGUAAAACUGAUUUCCAUAGGCAAAGCUCACCUUUUGCACUGAAUCUCUCUCUCUCUCUCUCUCUCUCUCUCUCUCUUAGUUGAUUGAUUGACAGGUUUUUGUUGCACUUUUGUACUUAAUGGUUAAAGGUUACAUAGAUAAACAAAUGUCAUGGAAUAGUAAUUGUGUAUGCAUAACUAUCUGCUGACAUAAUGGUAAAUACGAAAGGAAUAAGUAAAGUUAAGAAAAUCUGAGCAGAUUAGUAUUGAUUGCCUCAUAAAUCAUAUGGUGCUUGAUUUAUAUAAUGCUUUAUUUCCAGUUUUAUUCUUCCUAUACAUGUCUUCCAAGAUUUCCUAAAAAAUGUUUGUAGAUAUAUAUAUUGAUCCACUGUGAAAAACAAAGAAGUAUUGUUUAUAUUGAUAUAAACAAACAAAGCAAAGAACACAUUGGUAGAAGAGACAGUCUGAAAGCAUCAUAUGUGAAAGUGCCAUUACAUGUUGAAAAAGAAUUUCCUGAUAUUUAAUCUUAAACAUUUAACAUGGUAAAUAAGCACCAUAGUGUCAACCAUUGCGUAAUCUCUGUUCUGAAUGCAUCUUAAAUUAUGAUAUUGCAUGGUUGAAGGAAAUAUUCAGGGAAGUCAUUAUAAGUCAUUUAGGUGCACAAAGAAAUAAAUAUGAGUGUGAUAAACUGUAUGCUUGGGAUAUGUGUAUCUUAUGUAUGUUUGUAAAAAAAUAAAGGUUUUACUCUAGUAAA
Macrobrachium nipponense is the source of this 10452-nucleotide long non-coding RNA. RefSeq lists it as uncharacterized. Lineage: Eukaryota; Metazoa; Arthropoda; Malacostraca; Decapoda; Palaemonidae. The transcript has 2 exons. The record is from RefSeq and is a predicted model, not a curated record.